UACGUAGGGCGCAAGCGUUAUCCGGAAUUAUUGGGCGUAAAGAGCUCGUAGGCGGUUUGUCGCGUCUGCCGUGAAAGUCCGGGGCUCAACUCCGGAUCUGCGGUGGGUACGGGGCAGACUAGAGUGAUGUAGGGGGAGACUGAAUUCCUGGUGUAGCGGUGAAAUGCGCAGAUAUCAGGAGGAACACCGAUGGCGAAGGCAGGUCUCUGGGCCACUACUGACGCUGAGAAGCGAAAGCAUGGGGAGCGAACAGG
RNAcentral lists this ribosomal RNA (254 nucleotides) under uncultured bacterium. Its description in RNAcentral is "partial 16S ribosomal RNA". It matches the Rfam family "Bacterial small subunit ribosomal RNA", at positions 524 to 776 of the family's 1533-position model. The record is from RNAcentral.